GUACUAGGUUGGUGCAAAAGUAAUUCCAGUUUUUGCUGUUACUUUUAAUGGAGAAAAACUGCAAUUACUUUUGCAUCAACCUAAUA
This 86-nucleotide microRNA precursor is filed under the name Chlorocebus sabaeus (green monkey). Its description in RNAcentral is "miRNA (ENSCSAG00000024766.1)". The record is from RNAcentral. Lineage: Eukaryota; Metazoa; Chordata; Mammalia; Primates; Cercopithecidae.